RNAcentral lists this ribosomal RNA (482 nucleotides) under uncultured bacterium. RNAcentral's name for it is "partial 16S ribosomal RNA". It matches the Rfam family "Bacterial small subunit ribosomal RNA", at positions 30 to 507 of the family's 1533-position model. The record is from RNAcentral.
AUUGAACGCUGGCGGCAUGCCUUACACAUGCAAGUCGAACGGUAACAGGUCUUCGGAUGCUGACGAGUGGCGCACGGGUGAGUAAUACAUCGGAACGUGCCCGAUCGUGGGGGAUAACGAGGCGAAAGCUUUGCUAAUACCGCAUACGAUCUACGGAUGACAGCGGGGGAUCUUCGGACCUCGCGCGGACGGAGCGGCCGAUGGCCGAUUAGGUAGUUGGUGGGAUAAAAGAUUACCAAGCCGACGAUCUGUAGCUGGUCUGAGAGGAUGAUCAGCCACACUGGGACUGAGACACGGCCCAGACUCCUACGGGAGGCAGCAGUGGGGAAUUUUGGACAAUGGGCGAAAGCCUGAUCCAGCCAUGCCGCGUGCAGGAUGAAGGCCUUCGGGUUGUAAACUGCUUUUGUACGGAACGAAAAGCCUCUUGCUAAUAAAGAGGGGUCAUGACGGUACCGGAAGAAUAAGCACCGGCUAACUACGUG